Molecule: long non-coding RNA, 401 nt
Filed under: Capsicum annuum
Lineage: Eukaryota; Viridiplantae; Streptophyta; Magnoliopsida; Solanales; Solanaceae
Description: long non-coding RNA (CANN_LNC012168)
Source: RNAcentral
GCCAUGAACAGUAAGAAAAUAUGAAUAGCAACAACACUUAAGAAAUAUAUAUAUAUAUAUAUCUAAAAUGUAACCAACAUAAUCCCUAGUAAAAAUGGUGGAAUUUCACCAAAAUAGGGAGCAAAUAUUUAAUUUAUUUUUAUGCGUAUAUGUACAUUUUUUGUGUGUUUGAGAGAAAGAAAAAGGAGGUAAAAUUUGUGUGUAUUUGUUUAUUCUUGAGAGAGGAGAGAAAGAAGAACAUAAUGUGUGUGUGAUAAAAAAAUGUGCAUAUGCAUUUGUAUAUUUUUGGGAGAGAAAAUGAAAAAUGAGGAAAGAUUUUUUUCUUGUGUUUUUUGUGUAUGUAUUUGAGAGAGAAAAAAUAUGUGUGGGUAUGUGAAAAUGUGUGUAUAGAGAGAAAAGAU